Molecule: unclassified non-coding RNA, 726 nt
Filed under: Hevea brasiliensis (rubber tree)
Lineage: Eukaryota; Viridiplantae; Streptophyta; Magnoliopsida; Malpighiales; Euphorbiaceae
Source: RNAcentral
CCCCCCCCCCCCCCCCCCCUAAGGUCGUUGAUUCAACCAUGUUUAUGACAAGAUUUAUUGGGAGAACUCUCUUUGCUGCAGUUAAAUCUGAAACUUCUGCUGCUGCAGCAGCAACUGGGUAUGCUCGUAACCCUCUUGAGGCGUUCUUCGAGGCAGAUAGGACCCAGGAUGAGGAUAAACGUGUUGUCUAUGGUACAAUGCUCUUUAUUUUUUUAACUAUUACCAAUUGCUUAUUUGUGUCUAAUGACAUUAUUGUAUUGGUUUUCGGUUGUCCAAGGGAAAGAUUGAUUUUACUUUCAGAAAGGACUGGCAUAGGUUAAAUAAAUGGAUAAUGUGUAUAAUUGAAAGCAUUGCAGUGGUUGUCAACCAUUUUAUGUAGGAUUUUAAGUUAUGAUUGCUUUCAGGAUACAUUUUAGAUCUGAGGUUGCAAGGAAUAAUCUUGAGCUUUAUUGGGCUCAACACAGAUUGGUUUCAUUUAGGUUUGAAGAAGCACUUAUUGAGCUUAUAACAUUGCAAGGGAAACGACUGCGCUUAAUAUACCAGAAGGGAACAAAGCCUUGUAAUUUUCAGAGGAAUGACACCAGCUGACCAGGAUUAAAGGAAAAGAAAAAUGAAGUUGUUGAAUUUCAGGAUUGUUUCCCUUGUUAAUUAUAUAUCUUCUUUAGUGUUAGUCAUUUGCACAUUGGUUUAUUUUUCUUUUAGGCCAUAGUUAUUAAAGGCUCAAGG